This 273-nucleotide ribosomal RNA is filed under the name uncultured bacterium. Its description in RNAcentral is "partial 16S ribosomal RNA". It matches the Rfam family "Bacterial small subunit ribosomal RNA", at positions 524 to 796 of the family's 1533-position model. The record is from RNAcentral.
GACGAACCGAGCGAACGUUGUUCGGAAUCACUGGGCUUAAAGGGCGCGUAGGCGGGCUGUCAAGUCUGGGGUGAAAUCCCGCGGCUCAACCGUGGAACUGCCUCAGAUACUGACGGCCUCGAGGGAGGUAGGGGCGAGCGGAACUGUGAGUGGAGCGGUGAAAUGCGUUGAUAUUCACAGGAACUCCGGUGGCGAAGGCGGCUCGCUGGACCUCUUCUGACGCUGAGGCGCGAAAGCUAGGGGAGCAAACGGGAUUAGAAACCCCCGUAGUCC